RNAcentral lists this ribosomal RNA (468 nucleotides) under uncultured bacterium. Its description in RNAcentral is "partial 16S ribosomal RNA". It matches the Rfam family "Bacterial small subunit ribosomal RNA", at positions 28 to 507 of the family's 1533-position model. The record is from RNAcentral.
GACGAACGCUGGCGGCGUGCUUAACACAUGCAAGUCGAACGGAAAGGCCCUGCUUUUGCGGGGUGCUCGAGUGGCGAACGGGUGAGUAACACGUGAGUAACCUGCCCUUGACUUUGGGAUAACUUCAGGAAACUGGGGCUAAUACCGGAUAGGAGCUCCUGCUGCAUGGUGGGGGUUGGAAAGUUUCGGCGGUUGGGGAUGGACUCGCGGCUUAUCAGCUUGUUGGUGGGGUAGUGGCUUACCAAGGCUUUGAAGGGUAGCCGGCCUGAGAGGUUGACCGGCCACAUUGGGACUGAGAUACGGCCCAGACGCCUACGGGAGGCAGCAGUGGGGAAUAUUGCACAAUGGGCGGAAGCCUGAUGCAGCAACGCCGCGUGCGGGAUGACGGCCUUCGGGUUGUAAACCGCUUUCGCCUGUGACGAAGCGUGAGUGACGGUAAUGGGUAAAGAAGCACCGGCUAACUACGUG